RNAcentral lists this transfer RNA (73 nucleotides) under Mustela putorius furo (domestic ferret). It matches the Rfam family "tRNA". Rfam says of the family: Transfer RNA (tRNA) molecules are approximately 80 nucleotides in length. Their secondary structure includes four short double-helical elements and three loops (D, anti-codon, and T loops). Lineage: Eukaryota; Metazoa; Chordata; Mammalia; Carnivora; Mustelidae. The record is from Rfam by way of RNAcentral.
GCCUGGCUGGCUCAGUUGGCAGAGCACGCAACUCUUGAUCCCAGGGCUAUAGGUUCAAGUCCCAUGUCAGGUA